Molecule: long non-coding RNA, 496 nt
Organism: Gasterosteus aculeatus aculeatus (three-spined stickleback)
Lineage: Eukaryota; Metazoa; Chordata; Actinopteri; Perciformes; Gasterosteidae
Source: Ensembl
UCUCUUUGUUCUCUCUGCUCCUCCAGGCUAUGAGCCGGCCUGUGACAACAUGGCCGGGGCCGGCGACGCGUGGCCCGCUGGCCAGCUCACGGCCGCCUCUUUUCACCGAAUCAGGCGGCGCUUAUGGCUGAAAAACGCCAUCCGGACCAUCCGGUUCCUCCCUCAGGGAAAAGUGCUCGCGAACGGGCUGCUUCUAACAAAAGCGCUACUCUGCAGGAGCACUCAGCGGAUGGAAAUAAAGAAUCGGAUGCUAUUAGCGAUGGCCCCCGAGCUGCAGCCAACUAUUGGAAGUGUGAGAUUGUCCGUUCUUUUACCAUUCAUUAAACUCAGUCACUAACUGAAAAGAACCAUGUGUUUACCAUGUAUCUACUGCACACACUGCAGGCUUUAUCCUUCCUUUCAACUUUUUUUUUUUUUUUGGUGUCUUGCCUUUUUCUGGUUAUCAUGCCGUAUCUGCGUCAAAGAGGGUAAACAGACACCCUCGCUGAGAGACUUC